UGCUGCCUUCUGAAAUCCAAAGUAGGCACAAGUACUGUCUCGGGCUUUUCCCUCCCUCUCACCAGCUCAUGACUGAUCUUAGUGCACAGCUCUUCACUUCAGAUGGGCUGACACAGAGCUGCAAGUACAGCCUCCACGUCAGAGCUCAAUAAAGAGCCAAAAUUAACCACUGAAGCACAAGCCUCCUUACAUUUUAGUAUUCAACCUGCAUUCCCAGAUAUAUGACUCUUCUCUGCUACUGCAGUGAAUGCUGCUGGCUGCCAUGGCAGCAAACAUCCUGGUGAAUUAAACCGGAGACACAGAAGCCUCUGCCCAGUUUACAGUGCCACAGGUUUCAAGACACAGCUUCACCUGAAUGGGAUGCUACUGUAACAGAUCUAGCUCAUGGUCAAAUCCUAUUUUUCUCCCAGAAAGCAGGUAUUGAAUUGUUUGGGGUUUUUCUAGCUUCUCUCUGGAUAAUUCCUUGAAGCAUCUCUUGAUUUGUGAGCCUUGGCCCUCUGAAGAGUUACUAUUGCCUGUAAAAAUUAACUGUCUGCACGGAAUUCAUCUACACCUAUUUAAUGGAGAAAACUAAACAGGAAAAGAACUGCAAACAGCAUUUUUUUCUGUCUACACAAACUGUUGAAAUAUUUUUGAAUACUUGUAGAAGUUUUGUAUAUGUUGUUUCUUCAAAUAUCCACCAGUACUGUUACACAUUCUGAAAACAUCAGGAAUUUAUUUUAUAAUCUUGUAAAAGAAUGGUGAGUUCUAAGCAAAUAUUAUCAAAUAUCAGCAAACAGAUGAUGAGGUUCUUAGUAUGCAAACAAGAAUAUUCACACUAGAAACCUGACUCAGCCGUGACCUUUCAAAUGCACAGAGAAUGUACCACAUGAUCUGUAUUUCUAAUCAAAACAUAGUAAAUAUUUGCAGUGGACUGCUUUUGUACAAGGUAAAGACUCAGAGUUCUUGUAAGAAAUUGUUCAUAGAGUAACAUUAAUUAAAAAGAAUAAUAUUAGAAAAACAUUAACAUGAUGCUGCAACAGAAACUGGGGGAAAACAGCAUGAUCCACCAUUACUUUAUCCAUUUUAGCUCUCUUUCCUAAUUGGAAGCACAAACCCCAAUCUUCUCCAUGAUCUUACC
Molecule: long non-coding RNA, 1120 nt
Organism: Zonotrichia albicollis (white-throated sparrow)
Lineage: Eukaryota; Metazoa; Chordata; Aves; Passeriformes; Passerellidae
Source: RefSeq, a predicted model, not a curated record